UUAGUCUUGUAAUUUAAGACUGGGAUGAAAGGAUAUACUAGAAAAUGUCUUUCUUAAUUAUUUAUUUUUAAUUUUACUUUUUAGUAAAAAGGCUAAAAUAUUUCUUUUAGACAAGAAGACCCUAUAAAACUUUACAUAAAAGAGUUUAAUGAACUAUGAAUAUGUUCUGCUGGGGCGGUAGGAAGAUAAAACACUUUCAAAUCUUGAAAAUAUUAUUAUUUUAAUACCCAAAACUUUUGAAAAUUAAAUAAGUUACUUUAGGGAUAACAGCGUUAUAUAUUUUAAGAGCUCUAAUUGACAAAUAUGUUUGCGACCUCGAUGUUGGAUUAAAUUUCCUUUAUUGCGCAAGAG
This 351-nucleotide ribosomal RNA is filed under the name Centruroides gracilis. Its description in RNAcentral is "partial large subunit ribosomal RNA". It matches the Rfam family "Archaeal large subunit ribosomal RNA", at positions 2045 to 2630 of the family's 2987-position model. Lineage: Eukaryota; Metazoa; Arthropoda; Arachnida; Scorpiones; Buthidae. The record is from RNAcentral.